Molecule: unclassified non-coding RNA, 4612 nt
Filed under: Hevea brasiliensis (rubber tree)
Lineage: Eukaryota; Viridiplantae; Streptophyta; Magnoliopsida; Malpighiales; Euphorbiaceae
Source: RNAcentral
UCUCUCUCUUAAAAUUUUCUCUCAUCCCAAACAGCUUACAGCUCUUACUUUCCGUUCAAUUCCCUCCCUAAUCUCCCAAAUUCCCUUGGUUUUUUCAUUGGCUUCAAACCCUAAAUCUGCACUUCCUCUCGCCACUUUUUAACAAAAAGGAGGCCGAAAUUUAUUCUUUGUGGGAAAAUGCCGUUCAUUUCCGAGGCGGCGAGUGCAAUCAAAAGCCGGUUCGGUUUCCAUAACCUCUCUACUUCCGAAGUGGCACCGGCGACGGUGCCAAGCCCUCCAGAUCUGCUGAAAUCGGUGUCUCGAGAGAACUCCAGCCUGUCUCUAGUUGCCGCGUCGGCAGUUCGGAGUAUAGGUGAAUGGGAGGAUGAUGCUGACAGAAUCACUGGAUCUGUUGCGCCUCAUCAGAAUCAGAGCUUUGAGUUCUGUGAGGAUCCGUCUUUCUGGAAGGAUCACAAUGUGCAGGUUAUUAUCAGAAUACGUCCACUGAGUAGUUCAGAAAUCUCUCUACAAGGACAUAGCAAGUGUGUUAGGCAAGAGAGCUGUCAGACAAUCUCUUGGACAGGGCAUCCAGAGUCACGUUUUACCUUUGAUCUCGUAGCAGACGAGAGUGUUAGCCAGGAGAAACUGUUCAAAGUGGCUGGAUUGCCGAUGGUGGACAAUUGCAUUGGAGGCUAUAAUAGUUGCAUGUUUGCAUAUGGCCAAACAGGAAGUGGGAAGACUCAUACAGUGCUUGGAGAUAUUGAGGGAGGCACUAGAAGACAUAGUGUUAAUUGUGGAAUGACCCCAAGAGUAUUUGAAUAUUUGUUCUCCAGAAUCCAGAAGGAGAAAGAAGGUCGAAAAGAUGAAAACUUAAAAUUUAUUUGUAAAUGCUCAUUUUUGGAAAUAUACAAUGAGCAGAUUCUUGAUCUUUUGGACCCAUCAUCUAGUAAUUUACAGAUAAGAGAAGAUGUGAAGAAAGGGGUUCAUGUAGAAAACCUUAAGGAGAUAAAAGUUACAAAUGCUCGAGAUGUGAUUCAACAACUUAUUCAGGGUGCAUCUAAUAGAAAAGUAGCGGCUACUAACAUGAAUUGUGCAAGUAGUCUUUCUCACAGUGUCUUUACAUGUAUCAUUGAAAGUAAGUGGGAAUCUCAAGGUGUAACUCACCACCGUUUUGCACGACUCAAUCUUGUUGAUUUAGCAGGAUCUGAGAGGCAGAAGAGUUCUGGUGCUGAAGGUGAACGUCUCAAGGAAGCUACUAAUAUCAACAAGUCUCUUUCAACAUUAGGACUUGUAAUUAUGAACCUUGUAAGUAUAUCCAAUGGAAAGUCACUCCAUGUCCCUUAUCGAGAUUCCAAGCUUACAUUUUUGCUUCAAGAUUCACUGGGAGGCAAUUCAAAAACUAUUAUAAUUGCAAAUAUUAGCCCAUCUCUUUGCUGUUCACUGGAGACAUUAAGCACAUUGAAGUUUGCACAACGUGCGAAAUUCAUUAAGAACAAUGCAAUUGUUAAUGAAGAUGCAUCAGGAGAUGUUAUUGCCAUGCGAAUGCAAAUCCAACAGCUCAAGAAAGAAGUGUCCCGCCUACGGAGUUUAGUCAAUGGGGGAGCUGAAAAUCUAGAUAAUGAUACUUCAAUUAUAAGCUGUGCAGGAUCUCCAGGACCCUUUAAAUGGGAAGGGCUUCAUGGAUCAUUUAGUCCAUUUGUGUCUGAAAAAAGGACAUCUCAGAAGAAAGACUUUAAAGUUGCCCUUGUUGGGGCUUUUAGGAGGGAAAAAGAUAAGGAUAUUGCAUUGAAGGCACUGGCAGCUGAAAAUCAAGCAGCUAUGCAGCUGGCCAAGCAAAGACAGGAUGAGAUACAAGGUCUAAAAAUGAGGUUACGAUUCCGAGAAGCAGGAAUCAAACGGCUAUAGGCAGUUGCUUGUGGAAAGAUUUCGGCUGAGACAUAUUUGUUGAAAGAAAAGGAGGAGCACCUGAAGGAAAUUGAAGUUUUACGUACCCAGGUGGAUCGGAAUCAAGAAGUUACAAGAUUUGCUAUGGAAAAUUUGCGGUUAAAGGAAGAAAUUAGAAGAUUGAAGUCAUUUUAUGAAGAAGGUGAAAGGGAGAUGAUGAGUGAACAGAUCAAUGUGUUACAGAACAAGGUGUAAAAUUUAAAUUUUUUCAUGUUUGAACCUUUCAUUCACAAUAUCCUCUCUGAAAUUUUUUCUGAUUAUACAUGUAGUUGCUUGAAGCUCUUGAUUGGAAACUUAUGCACGAAUCAGAUAGCUCGGCAGUUCAGAAAGCAGAUGUGGAUGUGAAGGCAGAAGUUCUUCAUGAUCCAGAAAUUUCUAAUAAGGAACCAGGAACACCUUGGCGCUCUUCAAUUAAUGAGGAGAAUGAAUUCCUUCGGAUGCAGGCUAUUCAAAACAAGGCAGAAAUUGACACACUCCACGAGAAGUUGGGCUUCUGCCUUGAAGAGAAAGAAAAAUUGGAAAGGCAUGCCAAUGAUCUGUUAACUAGACUUGAAGAAGAGAGAUCUCUUAGGGACCUAAAGAAAGGAAUACAGCAAAUUGAGAUUUCUCCUUUGUCAACUGUUGCAUCAGUUAUUAAUGAUCAUGGCCAAAUGGAGCUCAAAACAAUGGUUGAUGCCAUAGCUGCUGUAAGUCAAAGAGAAGCAGAAGCUCAUGAGAAAGCAAUCACACUGUCAAAAGAGAAUGAUGAGCUACAAUUAAAGCUAGAAGCUUGUGUUGAGGCAAACAAUGAAUUACAGAUAAAGUUUAAAGCCCUAAUAGAGGAAAAAAAUAGUCUCGUUGAAAUGUAUGAACGAGCUGCUUCUGAAAAUAACCAUAAAACUUUGAAUGAAGCUGAUAGUACUGAGAAAAUUGACAUGGAAGUCGAUAAUAAUGGCAUGGAAACUGUUGUUAACAACCUAAAGCACCAGCUUAUGGAAAUGCAUGAAGAGAAUGAGAAAUUGAUGGGUUUGUAUGAAAAAGCUAUGCAUGAGAGGGAUGAAUUCAAAAGAAUGCUUUCUUCCAGUAGACAGAACAGAGUUGAAUAUAGAGAACUUGAUUGCCCAGAAAAGCUUGUUGAAGUUGAUGGAGGUAAACAUCCCGACUUGUGUGUGCUUCCAAUGCACCCUGAAGCAAAUGGAUUGGAGGAAAAUGACAAGGUAUCUGCUUUAGCUGAUGAGACAAAUAUUUAUGCUGAAGGAGUUCUUUUCUCCGGCUCUGAUGAUGUGCUCAAUGGACCUAGCCUAUUUCAUGGGGAUUGUCAAGUGGAAGUAGAAAGUCAGACUGGUUCUGUGACAUUUGAUGAUUCAGAAGCAGAGCCAUUAGAUCUGACUGCAGUCAAGGUUUCAGAUGAUCUAAAUGUGCUUAAAAUGAAGCUGGAAACAGCAGAGCAAAAGGUUUCAGAUUCUGUCAAAACCCUCACAGACCUUGGUUCACUUGAGAAAGCUUUUGGGGAGUUUGAUAAGCUUUGGAGGGAAAUUGAAGCAGCAGAAGGGGGGUUUCAGGUCAAGCAGCAAAAGUAUAGAUCCUUGGAACUCCUUUCUUCAGAAAUGCAAGAAAGAAAAGCUCUUGUAGAUAAGAAGUUGUCAGCGCUCAAGUACUCUCUGUCAAACUUUUCUCAAUCAGUUGUUUACUUUGAACAGCGAGAAGGUCGAGCAAGAGCAAGGGCAAGGGUGAAUGCUUCAUCAACUAACCUGGACCGACAAAAAGAGGAAUUGGCCUGUCUUCAAAUCUGCAAAGGUGAAGUUGAGGAUGCCUUGAGGAAGACUCAACACGCUGAAGUUGAGCUAAGAGACAACCUUGCGAUUUUGAAAACCAGACUUGAGGAAGAGAACCACAGGCAAGAGAAUGAAAAGGUUCUGUUUGCCAUAGAUAACAUUGACAAAGUAGAUACCUCAAGGAAAACUUGGCAUUUAGGAGGUAAAGCAACUGAUUUGUUGAAGUCUGAAGAAGAGAAGACCAAAGUGCAAACUGAGAUAAAGCUGUCCCGAGAGAAACUUCGUCUCGUAAGAAGUGAGCUUGAAGAUUUGCACAAGAAGUCUGCGAAGAUAGAGAAUGAGAUGCAAGCUGUCCAAAUGGACAUACAAAAAGGGUAAAAGAUCGUGGAGGAGAUGGAACUUGCAUUGCAGGGUGUAAACCAAGAAAAGGAAACUCUCUUGGAGAUGGGAAAGAAUGGAAUGUCUGAAUUUCAAACUAUGAUUCUUGAAUAUCAGCAGCAUGUGUUUGAUGUAGAUUUGAAGGAAGUGGAGAUGAAGAUAUUAGAAGAAGAAUUGCUGCCAGAGUUAAGAAGAAUAGAAGAAUUGAGAACAGUAAGGGUAGCAGCAGCUGAGAAGGUGAUAAAAUUGAUGGAAGACAGAAGUUGCUGCUUAUCUGAAAAAAUGGAAAAAGAACUGUUAAAUGUUUGGGCUUCACUGGUUGAGGCAAAGAAAUUAUUACUAGGGAAUGGAAAUUCAGAUCACUGUUAGCUGUUUGUUUAAAUAUUGUUUCAUUCACAUCUGUACAGAAAGGUCACUAUCUUGAUGUCCUGUUGAUCACAUCUGUUCAUGUUUUGUAACUGGGAUAGCUCAGGGUUAUGUGUGUAGUAACCAGGCAUUUCUUCUACUGGUCUGAACUGAACCAAAUUAGAAAGAAAAAGUAAAUCAUUCAAUUCAGC